GCUGUGGCUCAGUGGUAGAGCACUUGCCUGGUGUGUGUAAAAUUCUGGGUUCAAUUCUCAGCACUGCA
RNAcentral lists this transfer RNA (68 nucleotides) under Marmota monax (woodchuck). RNAcentral describes it as "tRNA.Thr". The stretch from base 3 to 63 matches the Rfam family "tRNA", at positions 6 to 65 of the family's 71-position model. Rfam says of the family: Transfer RNA (tRNA) molecules are approximately 80 nucleotides in length. Their secondary structure includes four short double-helical elements and three loops (D, anti-codon, and T loops). Lineage: Eukaryota; Metazoa; Chordata; Mammalia; Rodentia; Sciuridae. The record is from RNAcentral.